UAUAUAUAUAUAUAUAUAUAUUAAAUUAGUGAUCAGUGAAUAAAAAGAAUCACCAAAUUUAAUAUGGACAACUUUUUCUCCAAACAGAUCAAUUGGAGACCACAAUAGAUGUAUAAUGCUAUGGUAUCUAGAAUCCAAAUACCCCUUUCAGAUUUUAUCAUGCACUCAACAUAAGAAGGCAGAAUGUAAAUGGUAGGUAAGGAAGUUGAAUGCCAAUAGAUAUAUAGCUUAAUAAGACA
Molecule: long non-coding RNA, 239 nt
Filed under: Elaeis guineensis (African oil palm)
Lineage: Eukaryota; Viridiplantae; Streptophyta; Magnoliopsida; Arecales; Arecaceae
Description: long non-coding RNA (EGUI_LNC036507)
Source: RNAcentral